This 634-nucleotide ribosomal RNA is filed under the name Burkholderia sp. IBb343. RNAcentral's name for it is "bacterial SSU rRNA". It matches the Rfam family "Bacterial small subunit ribosomal RNA", at positions 380 to 1006 of the family's 1533-position model. Lineage: Bacteria; Pseudomonadati; Pseudomonadota; Betaproteobacteria; Burkholderiales; Burkholderiaceae. RNAcentral also lists the same sequence under 1 other name. The record is from RNAcentral.
ACCCUGAUCCAGCAAUGCCGCGUGUGUGAAGAAGGCCUUCGGGUUGUAAAGCACUUUUGUCCGGAAAGAAAACGUCUUGGUUAAUACCUGAGGCGGAUGACGGUACCGGAAGAAUAAGCACCGGCUAACUACGUGCCAGCAGCCGCGGUAAUACGUAGGGUGCGAGCGUUAAUCGGAAUUACUGGGCGUAAAGCGUGCGCAGGCGGUCUGUUAAGACCGAUGUGAAAUCCCCGGGCUUAACCUGGGAACUGCAUUGGUGACUGGCAGGCUUUGAGUGUGGCAGAGGGGGGUAGAAUUCCACGUGUAGCAGUGAAAUGCGUAGAGAUGUGGAGGAAUACCGAUGGCGAAGGCAGCCCCCUGGGCCAACACUGACGCUCAUGCACGAAAGCGUGGGGAGCAAACAGGAUUAGAUACCCUGGUAGUCCACGCCCUAAACGAUGUCAACUAGUUGUUGGGGAUUCAUUUCCUUAGUAACGUAGCUAACGCGUGAAGUUGACCGCCUGGGGAGUACGGUCGCAAGAUUAAAACUCAAAGGAAUUGACGGGGACCCGCACAAGCGGUGGAUGAUGUGGAUUAAUUCGAUGCAACGCGAAAAACCUUACCUACCCUUGACAUGGUCGGAAGUCUGCUGAGA